UACAGAGGGUGCGAGCGUUACUCGGAAUUACUGGGCGUAAAGCGCGCGUAGGCGGCUUUGCAAGUCGGGUGUGAAAUCCCCAGGCUUAACCUGGGAACUGCAUUCGAGACUGCAUUGCUAGAGUAUGGGAGAGGGAAGUGGAAUUUCCGGUGUAGCGGUGAAAUGCGUAGAUAUCGGAAGGAACAUCAGUGGCGAAAGCGACCACCUGGACUGAUACUGACACUGAGGUGCGAAAGCGUGGGGAGCAAACAGG
RNAcentral lists this ribosomal RNA (253 nucleotides) under uncultured bacterium. RNAcentral's name for it is "partial 16S ribosomal RNA". It matches the Rfam family "Bacterial small subunit ribosomal RNA", at positions 524 to 776 of the family's 1533-position model. The record is from RNAcentral.